RNAcentral lists this ribosomal RNA (881 nucleotides) under uncultured bacterium. RNAcentral describes it as "bacterial SSU rRNA". It matches the Rfam family "Bacterial small subunit ribosomal RNA", at positions 8 to 916 of the family's 1533-position model. The record is from RNAcentral.
AGAGUUUGAUCCUGGCUCAGGAUGAACGCUGACAGAAUGCUUAACACAUGCAAGUCGACUCGAGUCUUCGGACUUGGGUGGCGCACGGGUGAGUAACGCGUAAAGAACUUGCCUCUUAGACUGGGACAACAUCUGGAAACGGAUGCUAAUACCGGAUAUUAUGGUUUCUUCGCAUGGAGGAAUCAUGAAAGCUAGAUGCGCUAAGAGAGAGCUUUGCGUCCCAUUAGCUGGUUGGUGAGGUAACGGCCCACCAAGGCAAUGAUGGGUAGCCGGCCUGAGAGGGUGAACGGCCACAAGGGGACUGAGACACGGCCCUUACUCCUACGGGAGGCAGCAGUGGGGAAUAUUGGACAAUGGACCACAAGUCUGAUCCAGCAAUUCUGUGUGCACGAUGACGUUUUUCGGAAUGUAAAGUGCUUUCAGUCGGGAAGAAGUCAGUGACGGUACCGACAGAAGAAGCGACGGCUAAAUACGUGCCAGCAGCCGCGGUAAUACGUAUGUCGCAAGCGUUAUCCGGAUUUAUUGGGCGUAAAGCGCGUCUAGGCGGCAAGGAAAGUCUGAUGUGAAAAUGCGGAGCUCAACUCCGUAUGGCGUUGGAAACUGCCUUACUAGAGUACUGGAGAGGUAGGCGGAACUACAAGUGUAGAGGUGAAAUUCGUAGAUAUUUGUAGGAAUGCCGAUGGGGAAGCCAGCCUACUGGACAGAUACUGACGCUAAAGCGCGAAAGCGUGGGUAGCAAACAGGAUUAGAUACCCUGGUAGUCCACGCUGUAAACGAUGAUUACUAGGUGUUGGGGGUCAAACCUCAGCGCCCAAGCUAACGCGAUAAGUAAUCCGCCUGGGGAGUACGUACGCAAGUAUGAAACUUAAAGGAAUUGACGG